UGGCGACCGGCGUACGGGUGAGUAACGCGUAUCCAACCUGCCCUUUACUAUGGGACAGCCCGUCGAAAGGCGGAUUAAUACCGUAUGUUGUCAUGUUGAUGCAUAUUUUCAUGACCAAAGGCUUCGGCCGGUAAAGGAUGGGGAUGCGUCUGAUUAGCUUGCCGGCGGGGUAACGGCCCACCGGGGCGACGAUCAGUAGGGGUUCUGAGAGGAAGGUCCCCCACAUUGGAACUGAGACACGGUCCAAACUCCUACGGGAGGCAGCAG
This 267-nucleotide ribosomal RNA is filed under the name uncultured bacterium. RNAcentral describes it as "partial 16S ribosomal RNA". It matches the Rfam family "Bacterial small subunit ribosomal RNA", at positions 89 to 354 of the family's 1533-position model. The record is from RNAcentral.